This 162-nucleotide ribosomal RNA is filed under the name uncultured bacterium. Its description in RNAcentral is "partial 16S ribosomal RNA". It matches the Rfam family "Bacterial small subunit ribosomal RNA", at positions 355 to 509 of the family's 1533-position model. The record is from RNAcentral.
UAGGGAAUUUUCGGCAAUGGGGGAACCCUGACCGAGCAACGCCGCGUGAAGGAAGAAGGAAUUCGUUCUGUAAACUUCUGUUAUAAAGGAAGAAAGACGGAUGGAGGAAAUGACAUCCGAGUGACGGUACUUUAUGAGAAAGCCACGGCUAACUACGUCGCC